This 492-nucleotide ribosomal RNA is filed under the name uncultured bacterium. RNAcentral's name for it is "partial 16S ribosomal RNA". It matches the Rfam family "Bacterial small subunit ribosomal RNA", at positions 29 to 507 of the family's 1533-position model. The record is from RNAcentral.
AGUGAACGCUGGCGGUAGGCCUAACACAUGCAAGUCGAACGGCAGCACAGUAAGAGCUUGCUCUUACGGGUGGCGAGUGGCGGACGGGUGAGGAAUACAUCGGAAUCUACUUUUUCGUGGGGGAUAACGUAGGGAAACUUACGCUAAUACCGAAUAUGACCUACGGGUGAAAGCAGGGGAUCUUCGGACCUUGCGCGAUUGAAUGAGCCGAUGUCGGAUUAGCUAGUUGGCGGGGUAAAGGCCCACCAAGGCGACGAUCCGUAGCUGGUCUGAGAGGAUGAACAGCCACACUGGAACUGAGACACGGUCCAGACUCCUACGGGAGGCAGCAGUGGGGAAUAUUGGACAAUGGGCGCAAGCCUGAUCCAGCCAUACCGCGUGAGUGAAGAAGGCCUUCGGGUUGUAAAGCCCUUUUGUUGGGAAAGAAAAGCAGCAGGUUAAUACCCCGCUGUUCUGACGGUACCCAAAGAAUAAGCACCGGCUAACUUCGUG